This is a long non-coding RNA of Hyla sarda, 495 nucleotides long. RefSeq lists it as uncharacterized. The record is from RefSeq and is a predicted model, not a curated record. The transcript is spliced from 4 exons. Lineage: Eukaryota; Metazoa; Chordata; Amphibia; Anura; Hylidae.
CAAAUAUUGAACUAAACUGUUGAGUAAAUUUAGUAGUUCUGUGCUUUAGAAUCUUCUCCCUAUUCUUUUCUUCACAGCUUGAAAAAAAAAUGGAGACAUCAAUUUUGACAUACCUACAAAUUCAGCACCGGAUAAAAAUUACUUUAGGAUAUCUACCUCCUCUCCCAUGCCACAUUUGUCAUUGGUGAUUGUGAGUAUUAGCUACUACAGUGUAUCCAACUUUGCUGAAACCCUGCAGAAGGGAAAUCUGAACUCGUUGCGACUCUGUCUCGGUAAUUACUUAUCUCCGGAGAAAUAAUUCGCUCGGCUGAUUUAGACGCUUUCAGAAACAUCCCGCACAUGUAAAAUGAAAAUGGUUUGAGAGAUUUUCCAGCGCUUGAGGUCAAUCUCAAAAAACAUGAAAGUCGACAUUCGCUUUGAGAGCUACAGAAUUGUAUCAGCAAAACUGAAAUAACACCAACAAUCCCAAUGCCUGGAGGAAUUAGGGGCCAAAAU